This 398-nucleotide ribosomal RNA is filed under the name Amphiporus cf. cruentatus NEP-2021. RNAcentral describes it as "partial large subunit ribosomal RNA". It matches the Rfam family "Bacterial large subunit ribosomal RNA", at positions 1857 to 2556 of the family's 2925-position model. The record is from RNAcentral. Lineage: Eukaryota; Metazoa; Nemertea; Enopla; Monostilifera; Amphiporidae.
UUCUGCUCAGUGUUUAUUAACAGCCGCGGUAAUUUGACCGUGCAAAGGUAGCAUAAUCAUUUGCCUUGUAAUUUGGGGCUAGAAUGAAUGGAGUAUCGAAAAUUUGACUGUCUUUUUUUUUUUUUUGAAAUUGUGUUUAUUGUGAAGAUACAGUAAUGGAUAAGUGGGACAAGAAGACCCUUUGAGCUUUACUUUGGUUAUAUUUUUUUUAUUUUCUAUAGAGUUUGAUUGGGGUGAUCGGGAAAGAAGUAGUGAUCUUUCUUUUUUUGUUGUUGAACCAGUAGUUGUUGGUUUAUAGAUUAAGUUACCAAAGGGAUAACAGCGUGAUUUUUUUUUAGAGUUCUUAUUAAAAAUUAAGAUUGCGACCUCGAUGUUGACUUAUAGUUUCCUUUUGGUGU